This 157-nucleotide ribosomal RNA is filed under the name uncultured bacterium. Its description in RNAcentral is "partial 16S ribosomal RNA". It matches the Rfam family "Bacterial small subunit ribosomal RNA", at positions 355 to 509 of the family's 1533-position model. The record is from RNAcentral.
UGAGGAAUAUUGGUCAAUGGGAGAGAUCCUGAACCAGCCAAGCCGCGUGAGGGAAGACGGCCCUAUGGGUUGUAAACCUCUUUUGUCGGAGAACAAAACCUGGGACGUGUCCCGGACUGCGUGUAUCCGAAGAAAAAGCAUCGGCUAACUCCGUGCC